GAUGAACGCUGGCGGCGUGCCUAAUACAUGCAAGUCGAGCGAACAGAUGAGGAGCUGGCUCCUCUGACGUUAUCGGCGGACGGGUGAGUAACACGUGGAUAACCUACCUAUAAGACUGGGAUAACUUCGGGAAACCGGAGCUAAUACCGGAUAAUAUAUUGAACCGCAUGGUUCAAUAGUGAAAGACGGUUUUGCUGUCACUUAUAGAUUGAUCCGCGCCGCAUUAGCUAGUUGGUAAGGUAACGGCUUAGCAAGGCGACGAUGCGUAGCCGACCUGAGAGGGUCAUUGGCUAGCCUGUAUGUGAGGAACGGUCCAGACUCCUAGGGUGGGCCGCAGUAGGGACUCUUACGCGAAGGGCGAGAGCGUGACGGAGCAACGUGGCCUGAGUGAUGAAGGUCUUAUGAUCGUAAAACUCUGUAAUUAGGGAAGAACAAAUGUGUAAGUAACCAUGCUCGUAUUGACGGUACCUAGAGAGAAAGCCCCGGCUAACUCCGUG
Molecule: ribosomal RNA, 497 nt
Filed under: uncultured bacterium
Lineage: Bacteria
Description: partial 16S ribosomal RNA
Rfam family: Bacterial small subunit ribosomal RNA
Source: RNAcentral